Molecule: long non-coding RNA, 594 nt
Organism: Syngnathus typhle (broad-nosed pipefish)
Lineage: Eukaryota; Metazoa; Chordata; Actinopteri; Syngnathiformes; Syngnathidae
Exons: 3
Source: RefSeq, a predicted model, not a curated record
CAAACCAGCACUAACGAAGCACAAACGAAUGGUACCAUUUUGGGUCCAUUUUGAGCAGAUGGGGGGCUGGGCGAACUCUGGAUGACCUAUAAAAGAAUCGUUCAUAACUAAAAAAACCAUAGCAGCACAAACGAAAUUUUUGCUGCACAAACCAGCACAAACGAAGCACAAACGAAACAGACUAUUCUGCUUAAAUUUUGCGGGGGGUGGGGGGCCAGCUUCACGCAGGUACAGCACACUGAUAUAAAAUCAAGUUUGCGGCACUACCAGUUCUCCCAAAAGGGAGCGGUAACGCGUAACUUGCCGACAGUCCGCCGGCGAAGAAGAUAAGCUUACCAAAGAAGAAAAAAUACAAUCGCAACGGCGGGCCAACAUGGAGGCAGUUUUUAGCGAUGUUGUCAAAGUCAUAAUUAGAUGUCGACACUGUGAUGAAAGAAAAGCACGCAUCCGCGUCACCAUUGAGCGUCAGUCGAGCACAAGUGCCGUUUGCAAACGAGAUCUUUUGGUAAGAUUGACCAAUGACGAGGAUCCGCAUUUUUUCUUCAGCCUCACAAUCUCUGAGGAAGAUUUCCAAAGGUUUGCCUAAGAAGUAGC